AUGAAGCUUCUUUGUUGGCAAAAAUCAAUCCAUGGUUCUUAAAACAAACAUGGAGAGAAGUGUGAGAGGGUAUUAAACAAAAACCCUACACACUCUCCCUCCAUUUUCCUAAACAGUUUGCUUUGUGCUUUAGCUUUUGGCUUCUCAUAUCACAAAGGGAUUAUGCUUUUUUCUGAGUAGCAGAAGCAAAUAAUUAAGCAUUUUUCUCCAAAGGAUCAGAAGCUUUUGUUAUAGCAUGGCAAACCGGCAAGUCACAAAAAGGCAAUGGAUUCCUUUUUGGAGUCUU
Medicago truncatula (barrel medic) is the source of this 286-nucleotide non-coding RNA. It matches the Rfam family "Early nodulin 40". The record is from Rfam. NCBI's taxonomy places the organism in Eukaryota, Viridiplantae, Streptophyta, Magnoliopsida, Fabales, Fabaceae.